AGUGAACGCUGGCGGCAGGCCUAACACAUGCAAGUCGAACGGCAGCACAGAGGAGCUUGCUCCUUGGGUGGCGACUGGCGGACGGGGGAGGAGUACAUAGGAAUCUGCCUAUUUGUGGGGGAUAACGUAGGGGAACUUACGCUAAUACCGCAUACGACCUACGCGUGAAAGCGGAGGACCUUCUGGCUUCGCGCAGAUAGAUGAGCCGAUGUCGGAUUAGCUAGUUGGCGGGGUAAAGGCCCACCAAGGCGACGAUCCGUAGCUGGUCUGAGAGGAUGAUCAGCCACACUGGAACUGAGACACGGUCCAGACUCCUACGGGAGGCAGCAGUGGGGAAUAUUGGACAAUGGGCGCAAGCCUGAUCCAGCCAUGCCGCGUGGGUGAAGAGGGCCUUCGGGUUGUAAAGCCCUUUUGUUGGGAAAGAAAAGCAGUCGGUUAAUACCCGAUUGUUCUGACGGUACCCAAAGAAUAAGCACCGGCUAACUUCGUGCCAGCCGCCGCCGUAA
RNAcentral lists this ribosomal RNA (506 nucleotides) under uncultured bacterium. RNAcentral's name for it is "partial 16S ribosomal RNA". It matches the Rfam family "Bacterial small subunit ribosomal RNA", at positions 29 to 523 of the family's 1533-position model. The record is from RNAcentral.